AAGACCUAAUUUUAUACCAUUCUUUCCCUUCCUACAUUCAAUGAACUUGUACACUGUGCAUUACGAACUUGUGUGUUCCCUUUCAUCGGUCAUCGAUACUAGACGUUAUUUAUCCUUCACCCUUUCAAUUUCCCUUCUCCCUAAUAUACAUUCAUUGAAUGUAAGGCAGCCAAAUCGAAUGUCCUUCCAUUUUCCAUCUGCAGUCUUCAACGAUGGAGAGGGAAACAGAUGUGAGAGUAGGGGAGAAUUCCACCGGUCACCACCGUUGAUUGAAUAUAUAUCGGUUGACAAGUUCUGGGUCUUGUUCUGCUUUUUCACAGCUUUCAAUUUGCGUUUUUAACCCUAAGGAAUAAAGAAAACAGGGGUCACACGUAUCAUACGAGUCAAGAACUGCAAUGGAAACCACCUGUAGGAGUUACUCUCGAAACAUGGAAGACGAAUAUUAAAUGUUUAUCCGUCACAUGAACCCGCCACGAGGGUAACGAAUCAGGCAUAGAAGACCCUGAUCAAUGGCAUGCCCACAAGGUGUUUGUGUUAUUGCCUGAAAGAAACCGAUUGUUUGAUUUAGUGUUUUAUUGAAACAAGUGGACCGAGCUAACAAGCAUGGCAUUCUUUGGGAAGUUGUGAAAGUGCUCACUGAUCUAAACUUCAUUGUUAUAAAACACACAUUAUUGUUAAAGAAUUGUUUUAUUUACUACUAUCAUUUGUUUUAUUUUGAUGAUUAUGAAUUUAUUUAUAUUUCACCGAAUAGCAGAGAUGUUUUACAACACCGGUCACCAUCACGACUCUUCCUCUUCCAAUUCAUCCUCUCAUAACGUCGACUGUUAGGUUCAAGUGGGCGGAUCACCAAAAAAUAAGGUUGUGGAUCACCAAAAAUAAGGUUGAGACGAAGUUAGGCAAAGGUGUACCUCCUCAGAUAUGUGCAGGUCAUCGUGUUUUUGGUAACUGAUAUCAGGUCCCGGAGCCAUGGAGGUUAAUAAUUUCUUUAUCAAGCAAUUGAGUUAAGAUGCUACAAUAAUAUCGUUUUUUCUUUUCUGAAAUCGGAUUUUAGCCUACUUAUUUUCCAUAUUGUUUUUGUAACAGGCUGGCAGCUAUGGUUCUCCACGUAUACAUAUAUUUGAAUAAUUAUAAUUACUAAUUAUAAUAUUAUGAAAAAUAGUUAAAUUAUAUAUAAUAAUUAUAGUUUAUAUAAAAAAUUAUAAUUAAUAAACAAGCCAAACUUGAGUAGAGCUCGAACUUGAAAAAUUAUCUACGACUUGAGCUCGAGUUUUCAUAAGUUAAAACGAGCUCUAUACUCGUUUGAAGUAGACUAUUAUCAGUGCUCAUAUUCAUCUCAUCAUCAGGUAUGAUAGAUUAGCUGUGAGCAAAUUAGUUACCAGCUAAACAAGGGGUACAGUGCGUUAACCUUUUGUUCAAUGGUUGUUGAUUCGUUACACCAGUCAGGCAUUGUUAUUCUUAUCAUUCAAUAUAUUUUUUUAAACUAAGGUACAGGUUGGCUAAGUUCUUACUCACUGUCAUUUGUGUGAUACAUUUUAUAGGCUAAUCAGAGAAUCAAGUAUGAAUAAUCAAAGUGGGGACCGCUCAUUUUUUGACUAUCUAGAAGGUUGUCUCCGCCACAAAGAAGAGAUGUUAUAUUUGAAGCCACAAAGCAGAGAUGUUAUAUUUGAAGCGGCCAGGGCAAUAACGGAACUAAAAGGUAACAGAAUAUUCUAAAUAAAAGAAUCCUUGAUUCCUCUUGGUGACAACUCAGGCUCUUCAAGCAUCUCACUUAAGGAUGACAUUUCCGGUUGGGUUUAUUUAGUUGGCUCUUAUAGUAUAUCAUUUGUUUUCAGUCUGGUUAGUCAAAGGUCUCUAACAUUCUUGUUAUUGAUUUCUGUACUAAUAUAUGUAUGCACAUGUUUUAGUAUUACACACCGUUCAGGUGUAAAUAAUAGAAUAUCUAAUGGCAUUGAUGGCAGCAGUUAAAAACUUACCCCACCGUGAAGUGCGGGUGAUUUUAUAUAUAUACACAACU
Molecule: long non-coding RNA, 2014 nt
Organism: Helianthus annuus (common sunflower)
Lineage: Eukaryota; Viridiplantae; Streptophyta; Magnoliopsida; Asterales; Asteraceae
Exons: 6
Source: RefSeq, a predicted model, not a curated record